GAUGAACGCUGGCGGCGUGCUUAACACAUGCAAGUCGAACGAUGAAGCCCAGCUUGCUGGGUGGAUUAGUGGCGAACGGGUGAGUAACACGUGAGUAACCUGCCCUUGACUCUGGGAUAAGCCUGGGAAACUGGGUCUAAUACCGGAUAUGACUUCUCAUCGCAUGGUGGGGGGUGGAAAGAUUUAUUGGUCUUGGAUGGACUCGCGGCCUAUCAGCUUGUUGGUGAGGUAAUGGCUCACCAAGGCGACGACGGGUAGCCGGCCUGAGAGGGUGACCGGCCACACUGGGACUGAGACACGGCCCAGACUCCUACGGGAGGCAGCAGUGGGGAAUAUUGCACAAUGGGCGCAAGCCUGAUGCAGCGACGCCGCGUGAGGGAUGACGGCCUUCGGGUUGUAAACCUCUUUCAGUAGGGAAGAAGCGAGAGUGACGGUACCUGCAGAAGAAGCGCCGGCUAACUACGUG
This 466-nucleotide ribosomal RNA is filed under the name uncultured bacterium. RNAcentral's name for it is "partial 16S ribosomal RNA". It matches the Rfam family "Bacterial small subunit ribosomal RNA", at positions 28 to 507 of the family's 1533-position model. The record is from RNAcentral.